GGUCAAGCUACAAAGGGCUCAUGGCGGAUACCUUGGCACACAGAGGCGAUGAAGGACGUGGUUACCUGCGAUAUGUCUCGGGGAGCUGGAUACACGCUUUGAUCCGGGAAUUUCCGAAUGGGGCAACCCUUAGAACGGCCAGCUGAAUACAUAGGCUGGCGCGAGCCAACCCAGCGAAUUGAAACAUCUUA
This 191-nucleotide ribosomal RNA is filed under the name Prochlorococcus marinus str. NATL1A. Its description in RNAcentral is "partial 23S ribosomal RNA". It matches the Rfam family "Bacterial large subunit ribosomal RNA", at positions 1 to 205 of the family's 2925-position model. Lineage: Bacteria; Bacillati; Cyanobacteriota; Cyanophyceae; Synechococcales; Prochlorococcaceae. The record is from RNAcentral.